AAGCUCGUAGUUGAAUUUCGGGGUUUACCCAUUGGUCAGGCUUAAUUGUCUGUGCUGGUGAGAUAAAUCUCUACCUUCUGAGGAACUUUCAUGCCAUUUGUUUGGUGUGAUUGGAAACCAGGACUAUUACUUUGAAAAAAUUAGAGUGUUUAAAGCAGGCUAACGUCUGAAUAUAUUAGCAUGGAAUAAUGAAAUAGGACGGCUUGGUUCUAUUUCGUUGGUUUCUAGGAUCACCGUAAUGAUUAAUAGGGAUAGUUGGG
This 260-nucleotide ribosomal RNA is filed under the name uncultured Glomeromycotina. RNAcentral's name for it is "partial 18S ribosomal RNA". It matches the Rfam family "Eukaryotic small subunit ribosomal RNA", at positions 624 to 886 of the family's 1831-position model. Lineage: Eukaryota; Fungi; Glomeromycota. The record is from RNAcentral.